CCUACGGGAGGCAGCAGUAGGGAAUAUUGCUCAAUGGGGGAAACCCUGAAGCAGCAACGCCGCGUGGAGGAUGAAGGUUUUCGGAUUGUAAACCCCUUUUGUUAGAGAAGAUAAUGACGGUAUCUAACGAAUAAGCACCGGCUAACUCCGUGCCAGCAGCCGCGGUAAUACGGAGGGUGCAAGCGUUACUCGGAAUAACUGGGCGUAAAGAGCGCGUAGGCGGGAUGGCAAGUCAGAUGUGAAAUCCUAUGGCUUAACCAUAGAACUGCAGUGGAAACUGUUAUUCUAGGGUAUGGAAGAGUUAGGUGAAAUUCUUGGUGUAGGGGUAAAAGCCG
Molecule: ribosomal RNA, 335 nt
Filed under: uncultured bacterium
Lineage: Bacteria
Description: partial 16S ribosomal RNA
Rfam family: Bacterial small subunit ribosomal RNA
Source: RNAcentral